UUUAGAUAAUUGAUCAUCAGAAUGGCAGAAACCCCAUGUCAGCCCACGUGUCUCCGGGGACAGAGCUGGCUCUGUGGGCAUCUUCCAAGGCCUGCGUGCCCUGCCCCGUACCAGUGCACUCAGGAGCUGUGUCCAUGCAGAGCUAUGAGCACUGGUGACACUCAGCCCAUCCAUAUGUCUGUCCAGGUCAUGUGUCCGAUUCCUCAGCAGGAACCAUAACUGCAGACACCAACACUCCUCUGAACCUCACAGUCAUUCAUGUGGUAUCAGUUACUGUCACCCUCCUGCUGUCUGCAGCCACCUUCUGGACCAUUAGGAAAGGUGCCUGCCGGGAGAGAUGCCGAAGGUGAGAAGGAAGGCUGGGAGGGGACGAUUGAGAGCAUUUGGGAACUUGGGGAAGUCCUUUUGCAGGGCAGCAUUAUCUGUGAGUUCCCCCAUAACAGGAAGGGACUGCCAUGGUGUUGGAGAAGGAAGGAUUUUCUCAUGGUAACAUUACUGACAGCACGUGGAUGCCUGGAG
Long non-coding RNA from Gallus gallus (chicken), 519 nucleotides. RefSeq lists it as uncharacterized. The transcript has 3 exons. The record is from RefSeq and is a predicted model, not a curated record. NCBI's taxonomy places the organism in Eukaryota, Metazoa, Chordata, Aves, Galliformes, Phasianidae.